CCUACGGGAGGCAGCAGUGAGGAAUAUUGGUCAAUGGGCGCUAGCCUGAACCAGCCAAGUAGCGUGAAGGAUGACUGCCCUAUGGGUUGUAAACUUCUUUUAUAUGGGAAUAAAGUGCAGUAUGUAUACUGCUUUGCAUGUACCUUAUGAAUAAGGAUCGGCUAACUCCGUGCCAGCAGCCGCGGUAAUACGGAGGAUUCGAGCGUUAUCCGGAUUUAUUGGGUUUAAAGGGAUCGUAGGCGGGUUGUUAAGUCAGUUGUGAAAGUUUGUGGCUCAACCGUAAAAUUGCAGUUGAUACUGGCAUCCUUGAGUACAGUAGAGGUAGGCGGAAUUCGUGGUGUAGCGGUGAAAUGCUUAGAUAUCACGAAGAACUCCGAUUGCGAAGGCAGCCUGCUGGACUGUAACUGACGCUGAUGCUCGAAAGUGUGGGUAGCAAACAGGAUUAGAUACCCUAGUAGUC
This 460-nucleotide ribosomal RNA is filed under the name uncultured bacterium. RNAcentral describes it as "partial 16S ribosomal RNA". It matches the Rfam family "Bacterial small subunit ribosomal RNA", at positions 338 to 795 of the family's 1533-position model. The record is from RNAcentral.